AAAAGUGAAAGUCAAUUUUUAAAAUGAUGAAAUUGGUGAAGAUACAGGUUUAAAGAAUGAAAAGAGAUAUACCUCCGAAGAUUUAGCCCGAGAAGGGGAAGUUGUUACCAUUCAGGCUGAAAGUGAAGAGGCCUCGGGUGGAAAGAUAUUUUCCUCCCUUAUGGCCUGUUUUAGAAAUCGGGCAAAGAGUCAAGAAGAAAGUAGAAAAGAUAAAGGAAAAACUCAAAAGAGUAAACUUGAGAUGUAGGUCAUACCUCCAGAGCUUCAAGAGUGGAAUCUUGCAGAUCCUUGGCCUUUUGAUACAUCUCAGCCCCCAAAGGAUCUUCCCUUGAGAAGACAGUCAACUUUUUGGUUGCUUGAGACCCUAGAUUCGAGGAAAAUGGAGUUAUUAGCUCUUAAACACAAAAUGCAAGUAAGAAGGGAGGAUUGAAACAAAGUUCACUUACUAGAAACCUUUUGCUUUUUUCUGUCUGCUUCAACGGGAUGAGUAGUGGAAGACUUGAAGGAUUUGGUGGUAUGUGCCCUUGUUCUUUUCUUUAUUGGGGUUGUUCAUUGACCAGAAAAAGAGAGUUGAGCUCAAGGUCGCUUUUUGGGCUUGGACUUUGAAGAAUCAAUCACCAAUGCCCUUGUCCAACGCGUAGCAUGAGGCUCCACUGCAGGCUUUGUCUCUCCCUCCGAGUCCCUAAGCAGCUCAGAGACAUCCCUGCCUUUUCCAACACUUUGUCUCUCAGCUUUGGCCGCAGCUUCUUGAAGCGCAAAGGCGUUCGUAACAUCUUCAUCUUCCCCGACCUCCAGCUCUGUGGGAUUGCCUUGGGCUGCAAGUGUAAAGAAACCAAGGAAAGGAUUAAAGAGGGCAGAUUCAGGAAAAUUUCAUAAAUUACAAGUUAAAGAAGUAAGGGAUACCUAUUAGAAGUAGUUGGUUCUUCUGAUGAAUCAUCUCCUUCCAAUCUUCAAGUUCACUUGGCUUUGGAUGGGAUUUGAUUGUGAGUUGCUUGAAAAAGGCAAUCAUGAGCCUCAUGCAGGUUUCCUCUAUACUUCUUGCUCCAUUUUGCUUCCCACCAGAAAGAGAAGGUCGAGGUGCAUUCAAAAUUAAGAGCCAUAGGUUUGCGGGCAACUUUGCUCAGUACCUCAAGACUUUGAUGGGCAGCUAAUGCGAAAAUUAACUUAACACACAAAUUUAACCCUCUUUUGACAAUUGUAGUAUAAAUAUAAGUAGGGAUCGUUCUAGACCGGUGAUUAGGAGGGCUUGCUAAUAACCUCUAAACUGACUCAAAAACAUAAAACUAAACUUAAAAACACUUAACAAGAUUCACAAGACUCAAAGCAAACUUAAAAUACUCAAAACAGCUUAAAACAACCAAAUAAACUUAAAUUAGACACUAGGAAUGACUUUGAACGAAAAUUGACUUUUACUUGAAUCAAAACACUUAAAAACACAAGCUAAAACAGAUUUGAAACACUUUGAAACAAGAAACUAAAAGAGGGGUUUUGAUUUGGAUGAAGUUGAAACAAACAAACAAGUAUGAAAAACUAGAUAGAUUGUAAAACAAAUUUGAGAAAUAAGAUGAUGGAUGGGAUAGCUAGAGGUUUUUUCUCCACACAGGACAUGUAUGCAAAUAAUUUGAUUUCCAGUCACUACUUCAUUGAAUUAUGAAUGACAAUGUUCCAAAUUAACCGUGACAUCACUAGUUAAAUCUCAGAUUUUCCUUGUUUUAUUGGAUUGGAUGACAUCAUUCGACAACCCAAAACAUUCUUCAAAAGUUCCCUACAUGACAUCAUAAUAGAGAUACAAUCAAAGAUCAUUACGUUUAAUGAAAAUCAUAAGCAUUGACAAAGCACUUGCAACUAUGACAUCUUGUCGCUUAUGCUAGGAAUUGAACUUAACGCGAUCGUUUAUAAGCGACCUCCACUACUUAUGAAUAUAAGUUUGUAACGAUUAUGUGAAACUUCCUUAUAUUCUACCAUCGGAUUUAUGCAUGACAAUUAAGUGUCGACCCUUAAUCAACAAAUACAAAUAAGUUAUCAAUCAAAUAGUUAAGCCAAUUGCAUUCACGAUUCAAGAGUACAUAACUAGAAUUUAUCAAAUUAUAUUGCACACAUAAUCAUGGCUUUGAAAUCACCCCUAGCUAAGAGGGGUUUAGCCAUUCAUAUUUACAACAAAACGAAAGGAAAUUAAUUUAAACAUUAGAAACAAAAGAAAGAAAACACAUAAACGCUCCAACGAUCCAAGUUGGAUAGCAAGCACGUCCAAGCACUUUCCUUCCCUUCCUUUGCUACGGCACAAGGUGUUGGUGAGUGUUUGAAGGUUUGUUUGUAUGGAGGAAUGGAUGUGAAGAUGAAUGGAUGUGUUUGUAUGAAGUGGUAUUGAAAUGGGGAUGAAUGAUCAAGGAAAAACUAAGCUCUAUGGCUGCCACACACACUUCCUUUUAUAGAGGAUGUGCACGGCAAGGAAGGUGAAUUGGUGGUGUGUGCAAUGAUUCAAGGGUGAAAAUGAAGUAAUGAUGCAAAGCAUGGGGGGUAAAAUGGAGUGGUGUUGCAGCUAGGGAACAUGAAUGAUUGUGCACAUGGAAUAGAAAGGAAAGAUAGGUGGAAUGGUGCAGAAAUGAGUCAAAGGUGCAGGAAAUGUCAUGAUGCACGGCAUGGGAUUCCAAAGGUGGUGGAUGGUGCAUCAAUGAGUACAUGUAGUGGAGGUAAAAGUUGUAUGAAAUCUAAUGGGUGAAGGGAACAAGGACUGUGCAACAAUUGAGUGUAAUGAUUCAAUGUAUUGAUGCAUGAAAUCAGAAAUAAUGAAGGAGACAAGGGUGGUGCACGGCAAUGAAGUGUAAUCAGUGUAAUGGUGCAUGAAAUGAGUGUAAGAAAUCUGGUGCAUGAAGGGGACAAGGGUGAUUAUGCAUGGCAUGGGUGGAAAGGUGAGUAAGUGGUGAAUCAAUGAGUGCAAAGAGGUGAAAGUAUAUUGUGCACAUGGUGGACAAAG
Molecule: long non-coding RNA, 2974 nt
Filed under: Malus domestica (apple)
Lineage: Eukaryota; Viridiplantae; Streptophyta; Magnoliopsida; Rosales; Rosaceae
Description: long non-coding RNA (MDOM_LNC021096)
Source: RNAcentral